This 761-nucleotide ribosomal RNA is filed under the name uncultured Eubacteriales bacterium. RNAcentral's name for it is "bacterial SSU rRNA". It matches the Rfam family "Bacterial small subunit ribosomal RNA", at positions 55 to 818 of the family's 1533-position model. The record is from RNAcentral. Lineage: Bacteria; Bacillati; Bacillota; Clostridia; Eubacteriales.
AUGCAAGUCGAGCGGGGAAUAUAACAGGUGCUUGCACCGGUUAUAUCUUUAGCGGCGGACGGGUGAGUAACACGUGGGCAAUCUGCUCUUCACACUGGAAUAACAAUGAGAAAUCACUUGCUAAAACCGGAUAAGCUUACACUGUCGCAUGGCAUGAGUGAGAAAAUAUUUAUAGGUGAAGAAGGAGCCCGCGUCUGAUUAGCUAGUUGGUGGGGUAACGGCCUACCAAGGCGACGAUCAGUAGCCGACCUGAGAGGGUGACCGGCCACAUUGGGACUGAGACACGGCCCAAACUCCUACGGGAGGCAGCAGUGGGGAAUAUUGCACAAUGGGCGCAAGCCUGAUGCAGCAACGCCGCGUGAAGGAUGAAGGGUUUCGGCUCGUAAACUUCUUUAGGCAGGGACGAAACAAAUGACGGUACCUGCAGAAUAAGCCCCGGCUAACUACGUGCCAGCAGCCGCGGUAAUACGUAGGGGGCAAGCGUUAUCCGGAAUUACUGGGUGUAAAGGGUGAGUAGGCGGCAUCAUAAGUCAUAUGUGAAAGCCCAGGGCUUAACCCUGGGAUUGCAUAAGAAACUGUGAGGCUAGAGUACAGGAGAGGUAAGCGGAAUUCCUAGUGUAGCGGUGAAAUGCGUAGAUAUUAGGAAGAACACCAGUGGCGAAGGCGGCUUACUGGACUGAAACUGACGCUGAGUCACGAAAGCGUGGGGAGCAAACAGGAUUAGAUACCCUGGUAGUCCACGCUGUAAACGAUGAGUGCUA